This 1264-nucleotide long non-coding RNA is filed under the name Pogona vitticeps (central bearded dragon). RNAcentral describes it as "lncRNA (ENSPVIG00000023603.1)". The record is from RNAcentral. Lineage: Eukaryota; Metazoa; Chordata; Lepidosauria; Squamata; Agamidae.
UCUUUGCCUUAUCCGCAGGUGAUGGUAUCCACGGUAAUGCUGUCACUCCUCCUUGCUUAUCUUCGCAACCCCCCCCCCCUUCAAUCCCUUGCUCUUAGGUAGCAGCAGAAGUUUAGAGUUAAUCCAGUAAAAUUGAUGAGUCGGCCCAGAAUUGGCAGAGAAGUACUUUCCCUCACCACUCAAAGCAUGAUGAGAACCUCAGAAGCCUGUGAAUGGAUGAGUAGGAUCAUCUUUAGAAUGAAAUCAACAGCGAAAGAAGUCUGAAGGUAGCAGGAAGGUAUUCUGUUUGGAAAAUAGUCUGAGUCAUGUGGGAGCUUAUCUAAUUAUUGCUACUUUCACCUGCUGGUUUGGCUUUUGCUCCUAAAAUCAGCUCUUGAUCAGCUUACAGAGGACAUGCAGCUUGCUCUCUUAUAAGCAAAGAAGCACCUCAAAUGGGUGGGAAUUGUAUGGCGUCCCAAGGCUGCAUUGUGGCUCCCAAAGCCUUGUAAAAGAAAAAUAACCCUAUGAAUGUAUUUAACCACCUAUUUAAAGACAGAAUCUGAGCUCCAAGGCAUGUGGUUCUUUUAUUAAAUAAGGUGUGCCCUCACUUACCUCAGUUGUUACUAUAAUAAUAAUAUGCUGUCAAGCCACUUCUGAAUUAAUAACUACCAGAAGGUCGUAUUGUUAACAGCCCUGCUCAGGUCUUCCAGACUCAAGGGUACGGCAUUCCUUACUGAAUAUGGCAUGGAUCUUUUGCUUUUCUUGCUGCUUUCAACUUUCCCUAGCACUGCUGUUUUUUCCAGUUAAUCCUGCCUUCUCAUGGUACAUCUAAAGGAGAAUAGCCGCAAUUUAGUCAUCUCUGCUUCUAGAAAAUCAGGCUUGAUUUGAUCUGGUACCCAUUUAUUUGGCUUUCCGGCUAUCCAUUAUAUCUAUAAAGCUCUCCUCCAACAUGACAUUUUGAAGGAAUGAAUAUUUUUCCUGACAGCUUUUAUAUGCAUGCAUAGUAGUCAAGAAUACCACCAUAUUGAUAAAGUUGGCCUUAGUCUACAAUAACACAUCCUUGCACUCAUGAAUUUCCUCUAAUACCUUCAUAGGCACCUAUCAAGGUCUCUGCUUCCUUCCAGUUUCUUGGCUGCAAUCUUCAUUUUUAUUGAUAAGUAUACCAAGGUAUAGAAAAUUGUCAACAAUUUCAAUUUAAAGUCAUGUAAUUCUUAUGGAUUCAUGAUUUUUGUCUUUAUGCUUCUGCACUUUCUUCUUUAAUCUUCAUCACCAAUUAUUUCAGGUC